Molecule: non-coding RNA, 174 nt
Filed under: Legionella jordanis
Lineage: Bacteria; Pseudomonadati; Pseudomonadota; Gammaproteobacteria; Legionellales; Legionellaceae
Description: 6S / SsrS RNA
Rfam family: 6S / SsrS RNA (bases 35-136)
About the family: E. coli 6S RNA was the first non coding RNA to be sequenced, but its function was unknown until recently. It consists of 184 nucleotides that fold into an extended hairpin structure with a large single-stranded internal bulge.
Source: Rfam by way of RNAcentral
UAUUUUUUAAUCAUAGAUAGUAUUCUUGUCCGGCUAACAGAAUUCCUCAAGGAAGCCAGACUGCAGAUGCGGUGUGCAAGCUUAAAUUUCAUUAAGAAGCCUAAAGCAUCUCAAGAGGCAUCCACUUUGUAAUACGAACUGAGACAGGAAUGCUAUCUUUUUUUUGUAUAAUUU